This 253-nucleotide ribosomal RNA is filed under the name uncultured bacterium. RNAcentral's name for it is "partial 16S ribosomal RNA". It matches the Rfam family "Bacterial small subunit ribosomal RNA", at positions 524 to 776 of the family's 1533-position model. The record is from RNAcentral.
UACGUAGGGGGCAAGCGUUGUCCGGAAUCAUUGGGCGUAAAGCGCGUGUAGGCGGCCCGAUAAGUCCGCUGUGAAAGUCCAGGGCUCAACCCUGGGAUGCCGGUGGAUACUGUCGGGCUCGAGUCCGGAAGAGGAGUGUGGAAUUCCUGGUGUAGCGGUGAAAUGCGCAGAUAUCAGGAAGAACACCAAUGGCGAAAGCAGCUCUCUGGGACGGUACUGACGCUGAGACGCGAAAGCGUGGGGAGCGAACAGG